Molecule: ribosomal RNA, 568 nt
Filed under: uncultured bacterium
Lineage: Bacteria
Description: bacterial SSU rRNA
Rfam family: Bacterial small subunit ribosomal RNA
Source: RNAcentral
CCUACGGGAGGCAGCAGUGGGGAAUAUUGCACAAUGGGCGAAAGCCUGAUGCAGCGACGCCGCGUGAGGGAUGACGGCCUUCGGGUUGUAAACCUCUUUCAGCAGGGAAGAAGCGAAAGUGACGGUACCUGCAGAAGAAGCGCCGGCUAACUACGUGCCAGCAGCCGCGGUAAUACGUAGGGCGCAAGCGUUGUCCGGAAUUAUUGGGCGUAAAGAGCUCGUAGGCGGCUUGUUGCGUCGGUUGUGAAAGCCCGGGGCUUAACCCCGGGGUCUGCAGUCGAUACGGGCAGGCUAGAGUGUGGUAGGGGAGAUCGGAAUUCCUGGUGUAGCGGUGAAAUGCGCAGAUAUCAGGAGGAACACCGGUGGCGAAGGCGGAUCUCUGGGCCAUUACUGACGCUGAGGAGCGAAAGCGUGGGGAGCGAACAGGAUUAGAUACCCUGGUAGUCCACGCCGUAAACGUUGGGAACUAGGUGUUGGCGACAUUCCACGUCGUCGGUGCCACAGCUAACGCAUUAAGUUCCCCGCCUGGGGAUACGGCCGCAAGGCUAAAACUCAAAUGAAUUGACGG